CCUCCGUACCUGGCUCUUGUGCAAAGCAUGGGCUUAAGCUCUGAGGUAAUCGUACUUAGUACGACGAUAGCAGCAGUCUGCCCUUGACGCUGUUCAUUGUUAGCAAGCUAUGCAAGUAGCAAAAGUCUGCCAUGAACAGCCACGGUGGUGUGAAGGCUGGCUGCGCAA
RNAcentral lists this unclassified non-coding RNA (168 nucleotides) under Rhizoclonium riparium. Its description in RNAcentral is "ITS2". Lineage: Eukaryota; Viridiplantae; Chlorophyta; Ulvophyceae; Cladophorales; Cladophoraceae. The record is from RNAcentral.